GACGAAGCGUCCAAACGUUAUUCGGAAUCACUGGGCUUAAAGGGUGCGUAGGCGGCGCGGAAAGUUGGGUGUGAAAUCCCUCGGCUCAACCGAGGAACUGCGCCCAAAACUACCGUGCUCGAGGAAGAUAGAGGUGAGCGGAACUUAGGGUGGAGCGGUGAAAUGCGUUGAUAUCCUAAGGAACACCGGUGGCGAAAGCGGCUCACUGGAUCUUUUCUGACGCUGAGGCACGAAAGCUAGGGUAGCGAACGGG
RNAcentral lists this ribosomal RNA (253 nucleotides) under uncultured bacterium. RNAcentral's name for it is "partial 16S ribosomal RNA". It matches the Rfam family "Bacterial small subunit ribosomal RNA", at positions 524 to 776 of the family's 1533-position model. The record is from RNAcentral.